GGUGCGCCUUAUGCAUGCAAGUCGAGCGAAGCUUUUCAGUAGUUUACUACAGAAAAUGACUGAGCGGCGAACGGGUGAGUAACGCGUGAGCAACCUACCUUAGUUACUGGGAUAGCCCGAGGAAACUCGGAUUAAUACCGGAUAUUCUUAUUUAAUCACAUGAUUUUUUAAGGAAAGGUCAGCCGAACUAAGAUGGGCUCGCGUUCUAUCAGCUAGUUGGUAGGGUAAUGGCCUACCAAGGCUACGACGGAUAGCUGGUCUGAGAGGACGAUCAGCCACACUGGGACUGAGACACGGCCCAGACUCCUACGGGAGGCUGCAGCAGGGAAUAUUGCGCAAUGAGCGAAAGCUUGACGCAGCGACACCGCGUGUGGGAUGACGGAUCUAGGUUUGUAAACCACUUUCAGGAGGGAAGAAAAUGACGGUACCUCCACAAGAAGCCCCGGCCAACUACGUGCCAGCAGCCGCGGUAAUACGUAGGGGGCGAGCGUUGUCCGGAUUUAUUGGGCGUAAAGAGCUCGUAGGCGGUUCAACAAGUCGGUCGUGAAAGUUCAGGGCUCAACCCUGAAAUGUCGAUCGAUACUGUUGUGACUAGGAUACGGUAGAGGUGAGUGGAAUUCCGAGUGUAGCGGUGAAAUGCGUAGAUAUUCGGAGGAACACCAAUUGCGAAGGCAGCUCACUGGGCCGCUAUCGACGCUGAGGAGC
RNAcentral lists this ribosomal RNA (705 nucleotides) under uncultured bacterium. RNAcentral describes it as "bacterial SSU rRNA". It matches the Rfam family "Bacterial small subunit ribosomal RNA", at positions 41 to 754 of the family's 1533-position model. The record is from RNAcentral.